Molecule: long non-coding RNA, 699 nt
Organism: Ctenopharyngodon idella (grass carp)
Lineage: Eukaryota; Metazoa; Chordata; Actinopteri; Cypriniformes; Xenocyprididae
Exons: 3
Source: RefSeq, a predicted model, not a curated record
CGACUGUCAUCAGCGUCAUGUUGUCAAGGAUCCAACGGUGUCACGCUGACAGUGAAACCCGCUUACGCCGCCUAGUGGAGCGGAUGGAAAACUGAUCAUCAGGUUCAGUGCUAAGCUAGCCUAGUUAACUGUGUUCUGGGCAAGAUCUGAGUCAGAUCAGCUCUCAACUGAUGCGGCAAGACAGAUAAAGUGUUCUGCUGAAAGGCACGCGCCUCAAGCGUAAACGGCACAAGUAUGAGAUCAGAUGAGUGUGUCAGCGCCUUGUGGACAAUAAGUGUAUCUGCAUUUCCAUAUGAAAACAGCAGCAGGACGAAAGAGACUUGAAUGAAGCAAGUGGUGCUCAAUGCAGAGCCAAAAGACGUCCAGCUCCACCUCUGUGGAUCCAGUGGGUGGAGGGAUAGAGUAAUGGGUAGGGCUAAGGUGUGGUUGGACCUUCUAGCGUCACCCAUUACGCCCAAAUUACAUCUAGAGAGGGAUCUGGACUUCACACUCCACCCAUGGAUCUGCGGUAUUCAGCAGAGGGGUGUAAUCCUGCUCCGGCUGAGCCACUCUCCGGAGUUUAGCUCCAACCUCAUUUAAAACACCUGAAGCAGCUAAUCAAGGUCUUUGGGUUUACUAGAAACUUCCAGGCAGGUGUGAUUGACUGUGUUAUUCAAAUACAAACAAUUUACUUGGAAUAAACAAAUGUUUUUAAUCAUA